GUGGCAUCAACCUACCAUUCUCUCUGCUCUGAAAGUGGCUCCACUGAAAUCCUUCUGUUGGAGUGAGUGAGUCAUACAUCAAACUUAAUCAUUGGGCCUCAGAAAAUGGACAAGAACUGUAAAACACAUACGACGGGAAUGAUUUGACCUCACUAAUUACGAGGAGGAAGCUCGGCGCAGGUGUCUUCCUGUAGUUAACGGCAAUACUCCUGAGAACUGAGUGCACUGCAAGUUACAGUGUGUUUCUACUCAAAAGACAGUUCACCUUGUGCACCUGUGUCCUGACUCUGCUGGAAAAAAAGAAAACACAAGCUGUGGAGUAGCAACCAUGGCAAGAGGAAAGCCAGAUGUUUAUUUCAACUCUAUGGACCAACUGUUACGAGGUCAUUUUUCUUGCCUGGGGUUGAUCUUCUUAUCUGCUAAAUGAAAUCAAAGAUCCAGAUAUGCUGCCUAGUGGAAGAGCUUGCUUAGGAAGGAAGCCAAAUUGAGUGGUGUCUUCUCUCCACUUUCUCCAGUACUAGAUUAAUGGAUAACAUGGCAGCGAAAUAGCAAUUGGAAUGAAGAAAUCUCGUUCAAUAGGGAAGGAGUAGUUUUCUCUUGUUUUGGGUGAUGGAUGGAAGAGUAAAAUGAACCAACUCGUGGAAUGUGAUUCCUUCCUCUUUGAGCUGUCUCCACAAUGGAGGAGAGACUCAGAACAACACUGCUCUGACCAAGAUUUACAAACAAAAAGUUACACUUCGUUACAAGGUUGAACACUGUGAAGUGUUGUUCUGGAGAAAGCGGUUUUUAAUCUGGCUGAACAGGGACAGGGCAGCUUGUUCCACAAGGUUUGGCUGGGCUCAGUCUCCGUUCAUUCUGUGUUUCCCGUGAGUCAGGCACUUUGUCAAGUCAAGGGGAUAAAGAUGAAUGAGAAAUAUCCGUGCUCAAGAGGCAAAUUGUUUCAUCAAAGAAUUGGAACUAGCCACGGCAACGUCUCCAGCAAAUGGAACCAUGUGGUAUGGGUGCUAAGGUGCCGGGUGCACCAGGAUGAAAAGCCCCCCAUCUGGAGGGGCAUCCAAAGAGGGCCGCAGGACUCUCUGGAGGAGGAAAGCUGAGCCACGACUUGAAGCUGAGGAGUAGGUUAAGGCUUAGAGGAAGAGAGCACAAUGGCAAAGACACAGAGCCAAGAACCACAACCUGUGCGAAACUUAUGACCUAAUGAGGGAGAGAGAGAAGUGAAACAAUGAUUACAAUAUAUUUAAAAUUAUAAUACAUUUAUACUAGGGCACUGAAGGAUCUCAGAGAAGUAACUCUGACAUAACAGAUGUUUUCAAAUAUUCUACAUACUAUCUCAUUUAAUAAGUAAACAUUAUUAUAUCAUCAUGGCAAUUGGCAUUUGCUUAAGCAAAUAACAUAGACAAUUGUCAUUAUUUAAAUGAAAAAGAAUUAAAUGUUGAUAACGGUUGAAAUAAAUGUUCAUCUAGAGGUGACCUAUAUGCUAAAGUUUCAAACUUACUUGCUUCUUUGCAACUCAGACAAACGCCUGCUUGCACACAUGCCUAGGAGAUUUAUCUUUGUCACCAAUGUCCCAUCAGACAUUUGAGGAGUUUCAUCAAUGUCAGCCAAGAACCAUUUGUAACAUUGAAUGAGUACAACUUUGAAGCUAUACCUCAUGUAAUUCAGUUUUUGCCGAGCUGGAAAUGUGCACAGGAUAGAUGGCAGAGCUCUAUUAUGGGAUGAACAGGGUGACUGCAAACAGGGCAGGAAAGAAAUUCUCUGAGGACGUCUGGAAGCCAAUUGCCUGCAAUGCAGCACAGCUCUCGGCUGCUAUGAAACAAACGAGGCCAACAAAUCAACCUCAGGAAGAUUAGCCCUGAGCUAACAUCUGCUGCCAAUCCUCCUCUUUUUGCUGAGGAAGACUGGCCCUGAGCUAACAUCCAUGCCCAUCUUCCUCUACUUUAUACGUGGGACGCCUACCACAGCAUGGCUUGCCAAGUGGUGCCAUGUCCACACCUGGGAUCCGAACCUGCGAACCCCACCCCUGGGCCACUGAAGCAGAACAUGUGCACUUAACCGCUGUGCCACUGGGCCGGCCCUGUCAAGAUCUUUAAAACUAUAGAAAUAUCUCCUGGGGUUUCUUUCAUUAAACAAAUAAUAAAACAUUGUGAUGUAAUUAGCACCAUACUUGACGAGUUCCUGUUUGACUUCUCGCUCACUGUGCUUCAUUGGGCUCUUCUUUGAGUGGACCCCCAUACAGACUGAUGAGGUCACAGCAGAAGCAACUCAAAAGCAAUUCUGCAGAGGGCUAUCAUGGUGUCAGUGAGGUUCCGAGAUCUUUACUGAUCCUUUGUCGAUCCACUGCCUUUUUUGUUAAGAAAUAUCUGGAAGAAUGAAUAGACCAGAUAUCCUCUGAGAAAACUGUCUUGAAUAAAAACUUUUCUUGACUGAAUUCUGAAGGCUCAUAGGUCACAUUUGUACAUUUUCAUGCUGCCUUGGCAGAAAUUGGGGCAUGAGCAUAAUUGCUCUGUCUUCAUGGAAGCUGAGGAACUCACCAAGGACACAGCCUAGUUAGAAAAUCAUCCCAUAUUUGUUUGAGAUGAUCUGAUAACUAGUCUUCUAACUAGGCCAGGAUCCUGCUUAAAUGCUUAUUUUCAAUUUGCUUUAGUGAAUAGCUAAAUAGGUGGCAAAGGUCCAAAGAUUUUAGUCUAUAUGGCAUGGAUAAAAUAGUUUUAGCUUGAAAACACUUCAAAA
Long non-coding RNA from Equus caballus (horse), 2730 nucleotides. NCBI's taxonomy places the organism in Eukaryota, Metazoa, Chordata, Mammalia, Perissodactyla, Equidae. The record is from Ensembl.